UACGAAGGGGGCUAGCGUUGCUCGGAAUUACUGGGCGUAAAGGGCGUGUAGGCGGAUAGUUAAGUUAGUGGUGAAAGCCCAGGGCUCAACCUUGGAACGGCCAUUGAUACUGGCUAUCUUGAGUACGGGAGAGGUGUGUGGAACUCCGAGUGUAGAGGUGAAAUUCGUAGAUAUUCGGAAGAACACCAGUGGCGAAGGCGACACACUGGCCCGUUACUGACGCUGAAACGCGAAAGCGUGGGGAGCAAACAGG
Molecule: ribosomal RNA, 253 nt
Filed under: uncultured bacterium
Lineage: Bacteria
Description: partial 16S ribosomal RNA
Rfam family: Bacterial small subunit ribosomal RNA
Source: RNAcentral